GAGGGAAGAGUUCGACACAUGAACGAUUGGUUUGCAACUGAUAUGUGCCCCAUCCGAGCGGGGCUUCCUUCG
RNAcentral lists this transfer RNA (72 nucleotides) under Eudohrnia metallica. Its description in RNAcentral is "tRNA-Ala". Lineage: Eukaryota; Metazoa; Arthropoda; Insecta; Dermaptera; Forficulidae. The record is from RNAcentral.